CAACUGGAGCCUCCACUGGUAC
Molecule: non-coding RNA, 22 nt
Filed under: Arabidopsis thaliana (thale cress)
Lineage: Eukaryota; Viridiplantae; Streptophyta; Magnoliopsida; Brassicales; Brassicaceae
Source: RNAcentral